Long non-coding RNA from Parasteatoda tepidariorum (common house spider), 253 nucleotides. NCBI's taxonomy places the organism in Eukaryota, Metazoa, Arthropoda, Arachnida, Araneae, Theridiidae. The record is from RefSeq and is a predicted model, not a curated record.
GUCCCUUUCUCUCUCUCCUUGCAAAGCGCAUCGGGCGAAGGUGACGCCACGAAGAGACGGAGAGAAAAUAUUAAUAAGACAAAAGGAAUAAAGUCCUAAUCUCUAUAAAUGCAUUACAAUACGUCGGAUGACAGUCAACCAUUUCUGUACUUCAAAAUUUCUUCAUUUUGCGUUUAUGCUCGGUCAAAAGCACAAAAAGCUUUGCAGAAAAAUUUUAAAUUAGACAGAAAUAGGCAUUUAUGAACAAAAGGAA